This 462-nucleotide ribosomal RNA is filed under the name uncultured bacterium. RNAcentral's name for it is "bacterial SSU rRNA". It matches the Rfam family "Bacterial small subunit ribosomal RNA", at positions 64 to 524 of the family's 1533-position model. The record is from RNAcentral.
GAGCGGUCCCUUCGGGGAUAGCGGCGGACGGGUGAGUAACACGUAGGCAACCUGCCUGUAAGACUGGGAUAACUACCGGAAACGGUAGCUAAGACCGGAUAAGUAAGCUUAGCGCAUGCUGAGCUUAAGAAACACGGAGCAAUCUGUGGCUUACAGAUGGGCCUGCGGCGCAUUAGCUAGUAGGUGAGGUAACGGCUCACCUAGGCGACGAUGCGUAGCCGACCUGAGAGGGUGAUCGGCCACACUGGGACUGAGACACGGCCCAUACUCCUACGGGAGGCAGCAGUAGGGAAUCUUCCGCAAUGGACGAAAGUCUGACGGAGCAACGCCGCGUGAGCGAUGAAGGUCUUCGGAUCGUAAAGCUCUGUUGUCAGAGAAGAACACGUGAUAGAGGAAAUGCUAUCAUCUUGACGGUAUCUGACAGAAAGCCCCGGCUAACUACGUGCCAGCAGCCGCGGUAAU